Molecule: ribosomal RNA, 253 nt
Filed under: uncultured bacterium
Lineage: Bacteria
Description: partial 16S ribosomal RNA
Rfam family: Bacterial small subunit ribosomal RNA
Source: RNAcentral
UACGUAGGGUCCAAGCGUUAAUCGGAAUUACUGGGCGUAAAGCGUGCGCAGGUGGUUACGCAAGUCUGAUGUGAAAUCCCCGGGCUCAACCUGGGAACUGCAUUGGAGACUGCGUGGCUAGAGUGUGGCAGAGGGGGGUGGAAUUCCGCGUGUAGCAGUGAAAUGCGUAGAGAUGCGGAGGAACACCAAUGGCGAAGGCAGCCCCCUGGGUUAACACUGACACUCAUGCACGAAAGCGUGGGGAGCAAACAGG